UCAUAUGCUUGUCUCAAAGAUUAAGCCAUGCAUGUCUAAGUACUAGCCACUUGACGGUGAAACCGCGAAUGGCUCAUUAAAUCAGUUAUGGUUCCUUAGAUCGUACCAUCCUACUUGGAUAACUGUGGUAAUUCUAGAGCUAAUACAUGCCGAUCAGCUCUGACCUUCGGGGACGAGCGCAUUUAUUAGAACAAGACCAAUACGGGCCGGCAACGGUCCGUUCCCAUUUGGUGACUCUGAAUAACCUUGAGCCGAUCGCACGGUCUCGCACCGGCGACGCAUCUUUCAAAUGUCUGCCUUAUCAACUGUCGACGGUAGGUUAUGGGCCUACCAUGGUAGUAACGGGUAACGGGGAAUCAGGGUUCGAUUCCGGAGAGGGAGCCUGA
This 386-nucleotide ribosomal RNA is filed under the name Allothereua maculata. RNAcentral's name for it is "SSU rRNA". It matches the Rfam family "Eukaryotic small subunit ribosomal RNA", at positions 24 to 399 of the family's 1831-position model. Lineage: Eukaryota; Metazoa; Arthropoda; Chilopoda; Scutigeromorpha; Scutigeridae. The record is from RNAcentral.